UACAGAGGGGGCAAGCGUUGUUCGGAAUUACUGGGCGUAAAGGGCGCGUAGGCGGCCUGUUAGGUCGAACGUGAAAUCCCCGGGCUCAACCCGGGAACUGCGUCCGAUACUGGCAGGCUUGAAUUCGGGAGAGGGAUGUGGAAUUCCAGGUGUAGCGGUGAAAUGCGUAGAUAUCUGGAGGAACACCGGUGGCGAAGGCGGCAUCCUGGACCGAUAUUGACGCUGAUGCGCGAAAGCCAGGGGAGCAAACGGG
Molecule: ribosomal RNA, 253 nt
Filed under: uncultured bacterium
Lineage: Bacteria
Description: partial 16S ribosomal RNA
Rfam family: Bacterial small subunit ribosomal RNA
Source: RNAcentral